UACGGAGGAUGCGAGCGUUAUCCGGAUUUAUUGGGUUUAAAGGGUGCGUAGGCGGACGCUUAAGUCAGCGGUAAAAUUGCGGGGCUCAACCUCGUCGAGCCGUUGAAACUGGGUGCCUUGAGUGGGCGAGAAGUACGCGGAAUGCGUGGUGUAGCGGUGAAAUGCAUAGAUAUCACGCAGAACUCCGAUUGCGAAGGCAGCGUACCGGCGCCCAACUGACGCUGAAGCACGAAGGCGUGGGUAUCGAGCAGG
RNAcentral lists this ribosomal RNA (252 nucleotides) under uncultured bacterium. Its description in RNAcentral is "partial 16S ribosomal RNA". It matches the Rfam family "Bacterial small subunit ribosomal RNA", at positions 524 to 776 of the family's 1533-position model. The record is from RNAcentral.